Molecule: long non-coding RNA, 4187 nt
Filed under: Medicago truncatula (barrel medic)
Lineage: Eukaryota; Viridiplantae; Streptophyta; Magnoliopsida; Fabales; Fabaceae
Description: lncRNA gene2467
Source: RNAcentral
AAAUUAAAGAGUAGCCAAAAUAGUAAAUUUCCAUCAAGAAACAACUGUGUUCUUAGAAAGCACUUAAAUUCAACACAAACAGUAAAACUCUAUUCUACAUCAAUGCAAAUGCUACAGACCAAAAAUACAUCGAUGCAAAGAUAAAUAAUUCAAAAGUACACAACAAAACUCGAGAUAAGGCAACAGUUUUCAUAACAGCCAAGUACAUAAAUAUAAAUAAAUUGCAGAAAUAACUUAAAGCUUGUCUUCAAACUCAGAGAGGGGAGUCAUUUGCUCCUUGAGUCCCUUCCUCUUGCGGAUGUCCGUCACAAGCUGUGCAGCUUGUGAUCCAGCUUCCAAAGGAUCUGAGGUCAUGGUGUCCCAAUGAUCAAAGACACACUGGGGGAAAGCCUGCCCAGAUGUUGCAGCUCUCAACUGACUGGAAAAUCCAAAGGACUCAAUGACAGGGAGGUAUGCUUUGAUGUUGUAAAGUGGGGUACCGGGCCUCUGCAUUUCUUCAAAAACGUGUCCACGUUUCUGAUUAAGAACACUGUAGAUACCACCAAGAGCUUGUUCAGGAGCUUGGAUUUCCACCAUGUAAACAGGCUCCAGAAGCCUGGGUUUGGCUGUGAGCUGUGACGCAUAGAAGACUCUCCUAGCAGUAGGAAUGAUCUGACCACCUCCUCUGUGGAUAGCAUCAGUGUGCAGGACAACAUCGCAUACUUCAAAGCAGAUGCCUCUCAUGUUUUCUUCGGAUAAAGCACCUUCUUUUGAUGCCCACUGGAAUCCAGCAACCACGGAAUCCUUGAUUUCAUUCAAAUACUGAACUCCCUUACACAUAUCAACCACCAUGUUGGGCCCGGUGGUCUCAGGUCCAAAACACCAGAUUUUCUUGGCAAGAUCCUUGUCCCAACCAUACUGUUCGGACAAGAUCUUAGAACGAUUCUUGGGGUCAUCCCUUGGUCCUAUUGUGCCCUCAUCAAUGGCCUCUGCAAGUCCUUCCUCCAAUGGUCUUGCUUCCAUGUACAGCCUGUUGUGCUUGUUGGGUGAUUUACUCAUCACUGUGCGGACUGAUCUGUCAAGAACAGUCUCCCUGAAUGACACAACAGGGUCAGAUUUAAUAAUCUCAGCACCACCCAUGAAAUCAUCCUGCAAGUCUUUCAAACAGAUCUCAAGAUGAAGCUCUCCUGCACCAGCAACAAUGUGUUCUCCAGACUCCUCAAUAGUACAAACAACCAUAGGAUCUGACUUAGCCAAACGUUUGAGACCUUCAACAAGCUUGGGAAGAUCUGAAGCGACCUUGCACUGAACAGCAACACGCACAACAGGGGAGACGGAAAACUUCAUAGCUCGGAUAGGGUGGGCAUCAACUUCCUUCUCAUUUGUCAAUGUAGCAUUCUUUGUAAUAAAUUGAUCCAAACCAACCAAAGCAACAGUGUUACCACAAGGCACAUCCUCAACAGUCUCCUGUCUCUUUCCCAUCCAAAUAACAGUUCUCUGGACACUUUUCGUGUACAGAUCUUUCUUCUCUCCAGGGAUGUAAUUUGGUCCCAUAAUCCUCACCUUCAAACCUGUGGAAACCUUACCGGCAAACACACGGCCAAAAGCAAAAAACCUUCCUUUAUCAGAUGCUGGAAUCAUCUUUGACACAUAAAGCAUCAGAGGUCCUUCAGGAUCACAGUUUCGGAUGGCAUUUGCAUAUUGAUCGUCAAGGGGGCCCUCAUACAAAUUCUCAACACGGUACCUCUGGGCAGUUGAUGGUGAGGGAAGAUGAAAGAUCAUCAUUUCAAGUAGGGCAGUACUUGCAGGCAACCAGGUCUGCAUAACACGUUUCAUCAAUGGCUUACCCAUCAGGUCCUUCUCUUCAGACUUCAUGGUGACCCCUAGCUUUGUAAGCAUAGGCCACAACUUAUCCUUCUGAUCAUUCAUACAAGUGUUGAUGAUCUGCUUGAUAGGCUCAUAACAGAACUGAACAAACCCACGCUUGCAAGAAGCUGAACCAGUAUUCUUGGUGGUCCAUUUUUUUGUGGCAGGAUCGAAGAAAUUUUCACCCCAGAGCCUCUCCAUCAUCUUGGACUCAUCAACGCCAAAUUUUGAGGCAUACAUUUUGGCAAAGUUGGUCAGAGUAAAAGCCCAACCAUGCAAACCAGCAGAAAAAGCAACUGUUCCUUUCUCUGGAUACACCUGAACAUCACCAAGAAGUGGAUCUUCAUAUGUAGCCAUGAUCACAUUAGCAUUCUCAAUCACCCUUGAAAAGGUCUGGUACGCCUCCUCUCCAUCAACCUGGAGCUCAAGGAAGCACCUGUCCAUCUUAUUAACUGUAAGAACAGGCCUGAUCCUUUCUCCAAGAGCUUGUCGAAGCACAGUUUCAGUUUGGACACAUACACCUUCCACACAGUCAACCACCACAAGUGCUCCAUCAGUAAUACGGAGUGCAGCAGUAACCUCAGACGAGAAGUCGACGUGCCCAGGGGAAUCAAUGAGAUUAAUGAGAUACUCAUUUCCAUUACGCUCCCCCUUGAACCUCUUCAGAGAUUCAUCAGUCAUUUCAUAGUAGAGUGAGAUACCGGUACUCUUGAUUGUAAUACCACGCUCAGCUUCAUCAGCACGGGUGUCAGUCAUACGGACAUCACCAGCAACUUCCUGGGCAAUAAUUCCCGCAGCAGCGACUAAAGAGUCGGUUAAGGUCGAUUUUCCUGCAAAUAGAAACAGAGAAAAAAAUUGUUCAGACCGGCAAACUAUAGUACAUAUACAACAUGACAAAAACUAUAAUACGCUCUGAUUUGCAGGAAAAGUUUUAUAUAUGACAAUGAUACUUUUGAAAAUUGUAUGACAACAUUACUAUGUGAUCAUCGUUAGAACAUAAAAAAUCCUGCGGAGUAUUAAGAAAAACUAUAAUCACAUUAAGAAAUUUGUUUGUUAGAGAUUUUCAAAAAAAAAAAUGAGGUUUUUAGUAGCAAACCAUCUAAAAAUGAGAGGAUUUUCCUGCAAACCAUUUUUUUAUAAUUGGUUUUAUUUAAAGGUGAUCUGGUAAAUAAACACAAAACAACUUCUACUUUUCUCAAAAAUCUCUAAAAGUUAAUAUCUUGAAUUAUUGAGUAUCAAAAUCACUUUUUAUAAUUCGUAACAAAUAAGAGAGCAACAUCACAGUUCAAAGCAAUCAAGAAAAGGCUUGGAGUCCAUACCGUGGUCAACAUGAGCAAUGACAGACAUAUUACGGAUGUUGUGCUUGUAGUCCAUAAUACGACGUAACUCAUCAGCUGUGAACUUCACCUGUUGAUAGUAACACAAAUCUCAUGUCAGAUUAUGAAAACUCAAAAGUAAAAAUAAUAAAAAAUCAAUCAGUGUUGUCCGCAAACUUACCAUCUUGACUAGUCUUUUUAGGCCGCAAAAAAAGUCUUCAGUACUGAAACAUCAAAAAAUUGAAGUUAGUUAAACAUGAAACAUCACAAAUACAACAACAAUAACAAGGGUUAUUGAUAUUAACGUCAAAAAAUAAACAACGAUAACACAAAGAUGACAAAUCUGUAAUCAUGUGAGUCAAUAACGGAUACUUAUCUCAGUUUUUAUCAAAAACUUUAAAACAAAAUUAUUCAGAUUUAUGUAUCAUAUUACCAUAACCCACUCAUCUCAGUAUAUAAUUAUCAAAAACAAAAACAUGUUAAAUAUUAUCACUUAAAAACAAAAAAACACAGCAACCAUUAACUACAUAACACAACAAAAACAAAUCUGAAAAACAAAGUUCAAAAAAAUCAUAUAUUCAUGUCAGUAUUUACAAUAGAUUCGUUACUUACAAUUAUCUAACAGUAACAUCGAAAUCAAAAAAUAAUAAAAUUAAAAACCUAAUAACAUGUGUUUCGAUUAACUUAAUCUCAUAUAUUCAAACAAAUUCAUAUCAAAUAGUAGUGGUAAAAAUAACCGAUUAUAUCCAAGAAAAAUUAUUCGCACAUAAAGUCAACAUAGCUACAUCAAUUUAAACACAAAAAAUCAGUCAGAUAUCAAAUCUAAAAGAAAAAGAAUGAAAUAAACACAGAAACAGUUCAGAUCUGAAGCAAAUCGAAGUGAAAAAAAGUGUGAAGAAAAAAACAAGUACCGAUCUGAAUAAGAACAGAGAAAAUAAGUAAGAAAACGAUAAGAGAGAUGAAAAAUUGAAGGAAGAAAUCGAACCUGAAAGAGAGAGCGAGAGAAAGAGAGAGAGGCGGCUAAGG